This 422-nucleotide ribosomal RNA is filed under the name uncultured bacterium. RNAcentral's name for it is "bacterial SSU rRNA". It matches the Rfam family "Bacterial small subunit ribosomal RNA", at positions 355 to 774 of the family's 1533-position model. The record is from RNAcentral.
UGAGGAAUAUUGGGCAAUGCCCGCAAGGGUGACCCAGCAACGCCGCGUGGAGGAUGAAUGUCGUAAGAUUGUAAACUCCUGUUAGAGGGGAAGAAUAGUACCGGUUGGACCGGUAUAUGACUGUACCCUCAGAGAAAGCCCCGGCUAACUACCUGCCAGCAGCCGCGGUAAUACGUAGGGGGCAAGCGUUGUCCGGAUUUACUGGGUGUAAAGGGCGCGCAGGCGGGAUAAAAAGUCAGUGGUGAAAUCCUACAGCUUAACUGUAGAACUGCCUUUGAUACGUUUAUUCUUGAGUUCGGGAGAGAGAGACGGAAUUCCAGGUGUAGUGGUGAAAUACGUAGAUAUCUGGAAGAACACCAGUUGCGAAGGCGGUCUCUUGGUCCGACACUGACGCUGAGGCGCGAAAGCGUGGGGAGCAAACA